Long non-coding RNA from Papaver somniferum (opium poppy), 248 nucleotides. RefSeq lists it as uncharacterized. The transcript has 3 exons. NCBI's taxonomy places the organism in Eukaryota, Viridiplantae, Streptophyta, Magnoliopsida, Ranunculales, Papaveraceae. The record is from RefSeq and is a predicted model, not a curated record.
AAAGUAACAUUGAUGCAGCAGUUAAAAAGUUUUCAGGGAACUUUACUAUCAUGUUAUUUCACUAUGAUGGCCGGACUAGUGAAUGGGAUGACCUUGAGUGGUCAAAGCAAGCAAUCCAUGUGAGUGUGUUGAAGCAAACUAAAUGGUGGUAUGCCAAAAGGUUUUUGCAUCCUGAUGUGGUUGCAGCAUAUGAUUACAUAUUUAUAUGGGAUGAAGACCUUGGGGUGGAGCAUUUUGAUGCUGAAGAG